ACUGAAUAUUUAAAAACAGUAACAUAAGUUUGACUCAGUUUUUACAUUAUCAAUUUUUUUCCAAUUUCAUUUUAAAAUGGUUUGAUUCUUAAAUUACCUACUUUCCACUCCUUAGGACCAUUAGGUCCUACAAUAAUGGCUGAUAUCUACAAGACAAUACCAACAAUAAUCAAUAGUAGGAUGACAUUAAUGUUUGCUUUUUCGAUAUAUGUUAUGUUAUAUUAAUGACUUAUAGUCAAAAUGGGAUUUGGAGAGAUUUUUUCUUAAUUUGGGUAGGAAAAAUAUUAAAAUGGUGAAUUAUUUUUCAUAUUAAGAGUCUAUUCGGCAAUGCUAGAUAUUCUAGUUACUGCUAGCUGUUGUAUAAAGGUUUACAGUAGAAUUAUUUGAUAAAAAUAACUAUUGAAUUA
RNAcentral lists this unclassified non-coding RNA (407 nucleotides) under Hevea brasiliensis (rubber tree). The record is from RNAcentral. Lineage: Eukaryota; Viridiplantae; Streptophyta; Magnoliopsida; Malpighiales; Euphorbiaceae.